CAGCGGAACAACGACGACGAUGGUGAACUCCACUCCGCAGGGACUCUGGCUGGAACGCUUAUCCUAGCUCGCAAACAAAGAAUCCACGGCAAACAAGCAUGCAAUCCAGGCACGACCUGCAAGCUGGCAUGACACGCCAGGUCAGUACAUUGAAUGUACUUGCAAGCUCACAAUAACCAGAAGCAUUCAAGACAAACAUCAGCAUGGCAAUUACAGGUUAAGCAGGAAUUAUCAUGAGAUCAUCAGAAUAACAUGGCAUGAACAAUAUGGACAUGAUACAGGUAGAACAACAUGAGCAUGGCAUGAACAUAUAGAUCUGACGAUACUAGCAUGCAACAUGAUGACACUAUAUGCACUAUUUAUUCUGCUCGGGUUACUUCGUAACCAUCACAUGCAUCACUUACCAUCCUCGGACAUCACACGAUCAUCUCAGGAUCAAAUCAAGCUUGGUAUAAACAAUACCGUAGUAAUUAUAAAAUGACCACAAGGAGCUUGAUCUUUACCCACGAUUCUCGCACAAUAUCACGAAUAUCCAACAACUCGGUAUCCUCGAUACCACGGUGAUCAUUCUGGCGAUCACAACCAUGACCAACACUUGGUCCCAAACGGUGAUCAUUCCGGCGAUGACAACCAACUUAUCUCAUCAUCGAACCGGGGUUGUCAUUAAUCAAGUGAUUAUUAAUACUGUUGACUCAUGGUGGGGCCGACACGAACUGGGCCCUUAUCCGUGGGCGCGGCUAUCGAUAGAUUUAAUAUACACUCUGCAGAGGUUAGUACACUGUACCCACACCACGGAACCCAUGGCCUCGCACUCCCAUUCGGGUGGACCAACGGCUUUCCGACAAAACCGAUCUACUGCCAUGACCCUCUCCCGGCCACUCCGACUCACUCCCCAUUGGGCUAGUCCUGGGUGGCCCCGUGUCUACCAAAGACACAACGACCACCGUCGUGGUCCGUCCCAAACAGGGACAAAAGCGCUUAUCAUCCAACCUACGGGCACACAAGGUUAUGUCCGCCUACCUGAUCAGGGUAAGCACGCCCAUAACCUUCCCUAGUUGGAGGCACCGGCGAGAGGCACGACAAUAGACCCAGUUAGGACCUUCCCAUAUCGGCAAGUGUGGUUGCACUAGUCAGUUUCGAUAUGGUGGCACCAUGACUCAGCCAACAGUUGUUCAAGUUCAAUUUAAUCUGGUUAAACUUGAAUGCAAUAUGCCGAGCCAUGAUAAAAUAACAUGAUGCAUAUACAAAGCAUGAGCAUGAUAUCAACAUAAGCACGUGAUGCAACAUAACUAUCCAUCAUAUCAACUAUGAAAUAAUCUCAAACUGAACAUGGCAUAAUGACGAGCAUAAAUAUUACAAGUGCAACACUACUCAUGGUAUAACAUGACCACUAGCAUCAACCAUAAAUACCAUGCAAGAACUCAUCAAUAACAUUACCAAGUAACAAUUAACCAACUAACAGCAAAGGAACAACGCACAUUAACAGUACUCGAUAACCGACGUUAGUCAUGCACCGAAGAACAUGACCAACCUAACUUGUACUACUAUCAAGCGUGGCAAUAUGAAAUUAAUACUAGAAACUAGCAGGGCAUGAUAACCAGGUGCAUAACAACAUAGCAAGUAAGUAAGCACUAACCCAGAAGCAUUAGCGAAACAACGAUAACCAUGUUUUAAACAAGCAAUCAUUUAAUAAAUAUUCAAGUUGAAAACCAUGGCUACUGCAUUACUAUCAUGCAGGUGGGUAUUGUGGCUUGCCUGGGGGUGAAGAAGGCACCGGGAAGGAGUGCGGUGAAGCCGCGAAAAGAUUUGCCAGAAACAGUUCUCUCUCGGAGGGGCUGUUUACGUGCAAGGGCAAAAAGGUCAUUUUCAGAGUGUCAAACCAUAGUGAAAAUGAAACCAACAGAACGGGCUCGACGAAACGAAGACGUGGGCUUUGGAAUCACCUCAUUUGGAGUUUUGGUUAAAAAGAUAUGAUGGGUUGAAGUUCAGGGACUUUUCUACAAAAAUAUCAUCACCAACAAGUCCCUGAGUGGAUAAGGCAGAAGCGCAAAGUUUGAAAUACGCUUUCUGAUUAAGAAAACGCGUUCUGGGCUGAAACAGAGAGGAAAUACGCUUUCAGAAACAGAAAACGUAUUUUGUGCUGAAACAGAACGAAACUACGCUUUCCAGCUGGGAAGACGUAUUCAGAAGAAUACGUCUCCACUUAUCCAGCGUGGCAAGGCGGGACCGGGCGGCUGUGAGACUUAUAGGCGGGGCCCACUUUAUCCUUUCUCUCUCCCCUCGGUCCUUCUUCCUCUUCCCGAUGCUGGCUGAACAGGGGCGAGGCAGAGGCGAGGCUCGGGUACUGCCGGCGCCGGCCCUGGCGACUCCGGCCAGCUCCGGCGGAGCUCGGACCACCGGAGGGCUCGCCGCGGGACGCCGCACCCGAGGGGACCAGCAGGGAUCGCGGGGAAGUGCUGUGGCACCCGCCACAGUAGAGCACAGAGGCGGGGCUCCGGUGAUGGUUCCGGCGGCUCUGGCCACCGUUCGGAGCGCCCGAACCACCGGCAUGAUCAGAGAAUCAGAGUGGUCUCGGUCAGAUAGGUUUCGGCCACCGAAGAGCACGGGAGAGGGCGGAGCUUCGGCCACGGUGGACGAUGGCUUCGGGCAAACUUGGGCACGCGGCCACGGCGGCUCCUGCGGCCAAAGGAGGGGUGGGGGAGGCUUGUGGUGGAGAAGGGAGGCCUCUGGUGGUGGAAGAGAGAAAAGAGCACUAUCCUGCCGGAAUCGAGGACGAUAGAGGCGGCAGCCAUGGCGGCCAAGGGCAGCGAAGAGGGGCUCUAGAGCUCGUUUGAGUAGCUAGGCGGGGCACUGAGAGGUGGGUGAGACGAGUGGUGAGCUCGAAGAGGCUCGGGGAUGGCUAUUCAUAGCCGGGCAAGGGAGGCAGUGGCCGAGUGCCACCGCUCGAGCUAGGCCAAAGCUCUGGCGAGGCUCAGCGAGGACGGGAGGGCGCGGGAAGGCAACGAGGAAGGCAACGGACGAGCUACAGAGGUGCACAGGGUGAGGGGGGCCGAGGGCGCACAGGAGAAGUGGUCGAACGCCAUUAAAGCCUCGGUCGGCCACAGUGCGUCCGUGGGCGCGCGGCGACGAGAUUUGACGGAGGGGCUGACGGAGGGGAAGAAGACUCCAGGAGGACGGCGACGACGUGGUAAAACAGUGAGACAUGCUCAAGAGCACGAAGACGCCGAGAGGGAGAGGGGCCCGAGCAAGAAGCCAUUCUGGAUGCGCCCACUGCAUGCCAAGUCGGUGGUCACCGCGCGCACUGGUGCACACAGUGCCACAAGCGAUGCCAAACGAUGUCUGGGGUGGAGUCCUUCCUGGGGAGGUUGCAACUGCAGUGGUAGUUUGGUUAAAAGUGACAUGGUUAAAUGGUAGUUAACACCUGAAGUUUACUGCAGUAAACUUGAUCGUGUACUGCUGAUCAACAGGGAGGUGAUUGGUGACAAUGGAGUUGUCUGCGAGGUUGAGGUAAAGAAGGACUUACAUCCUGGUAACUAUGGAGGGGUUUGGAUCAAGAUUUAACAGAGUUGCUUUGCAACUGCCAAAUAUGGUCCAGAAUCAAGAUUUGGAUGAUGCACUCACAUACUUGAUCUCUGUGAGAUGAAGUUUGGCAUAGAGGGGUUAUAUGAUGGUAUGAAGCUGCUAUAAAGAUUUCAUGCCAUUUGGAAAUACCAAAGUGGCACUUGCUUCACAAAGCUUCAUUCUGGACAGAAACUUGCGAAAAUUCUGGAGGAAUAAUGGCUCGAUAAACCAUGCCCAAAAUGGGCGGAGGUAAGUUAUAUGGAUAAUAGAAGGCCUAGAAAAAUUGGCAGCCAUAAUGGAGCAAGAUAAAAUAUACUUGCUUCACAAACUAAAGUUUUGGACAGAAUCAAAGAAUUGAAGAUGAGCUCACAUGGAGGCAUGACAUGAGCUCUAGUUUGGUGGAGGGCCAUGAUAUGAUGAUAUGAGGGACCAUGCAAAAUGGCAACUCAUUUGGAUAUGCCUAGCUUGCACCUCCUUCACAAAGCUUCUUUCUAGAUAGAAACUUUGGAAAAUCAUAAUUAAAUAAUUACUAGGCAAAUGAGGUUGCAUUUUGGCAUGUGGCAAUGAUAUGGACAGGAAACGGUGUCCAAGGAGUUUGAGGUCAAUUGGGAAAAGGAAAAUAGCACUUGCUUCACAAUGUGCCAUUUAGGGCAGAAUAGGAAAUGAAUUAUUUGAGCAUGAUGAUAAACAUGACAAAUGAAAUAUUUUGCCAUAUUUAAGAAAGAUAUGACCCAAAAAAAUUAUGAGAAUUAUUUGGGAGUUUUAGGAGUGAUGGAAAUAAAGGUUACUUCAUAACCUAGGGCAAUUUGAGUUAUUCCUUUAAUAGAAAAGGAAUAUUCCCAAUAAAAAGAAUGUUGGGAUUUGGGCUAGGAUGAAAAUGACAGGGUUCAGGGAAGGAUUUGGGUAUGACAAGCCACUCUGGAAGCAAAGAAGAGUUCAUCUUCUUCACUUUCCAGGCCACAAAGCCACGGAAAAAGAAAACUCAAGCAAAAACCUCAGAAAAACAAAAGAAAAAGAAAGGGCCAAAAAAUCAGGCUGUCACAAACCUUACCCCCUUAAAGAAAUCUCGUCCUCGAGAUUUGGUUGCUCAGGGAACAAGUAUGAAGAUACUGACUUAAGGAAAUCGUUUCCAACUCGGGUAUCCCUUUUGUUAUUUUUGUUCCCACUAAAUUUUUAUCUGACUGGCCCUGGGGUGGUUUGCUUUAAUAUAUCCAUAUUCUGACUGGUCUUACCUUGCUUGUUCAUGCUUAUACAGGCUCCAAUUUCUUUUUAGAUCUGCUGACUUAGCUGACUGUGAUUGAUCCUCACGACUGAAAUAUAUGUCGGUCUCACAAAUACAAGAGUGAUUUCCGCUGGGUGUGUCAUCCAGCACUCACAAUCUUUCAUGAAGUGGUGAUCAGAUUUUUUUCUAGUGGACACCCAAGCUCUAACUCCUUGUAUUGGGUUUCUCCACUAAAUGCAGGUCCUUCGGGUUCCAAACAGUGAGUUGGGUCAUAACCGCUUUCCCGACAGCUUCUAGCUUAUCGCGGAGGUUUCUGAAUCAUCUUAACUGGUUCCACUGUCUUGAGUAUCGGAUCCGUACCAAAUAUUUGAUUGUCGCCUGUCGUGGCUAGCAUAAGAGUUUGACCCGUAGGGUAAUAUCUGCAGACUUGACUGACGGUGGUUCUGCACCACGCGGGUCUUGCAACAAUUUUCAUACCCACAUCACUGGUCUUGCUCCUUCAUUACCGUUUUCUUGGUCUGGAUCCUUCGCUGAAAGAGCUGGGUCAUAUUGCUUCUUUGUAUCACCCUAGGUACGGUCGGUACAAUUUUUCGGCAAUCGUAGCCUAUCCUCAUUUUUCUGACAAGGUACCCCAUUUAAAUGGCAGUUUCAACUCCCUUCAAGUUCUGACUGAUUCUUGCUUCUGACCAAAAUGUUGCGGAUCUGAUUCUUGGGAUUCACUGCCAUAUGCUAUCAAUUCAUAGCGUACUACCUUGUACCAAUGUCUUACUGAGGAAGAUUGGCUGGCUUGUGCUCGAAACUUUCAUCGGACAGUUUGCUGGAGAAGACUGGGUAUCGUGCUUCAGAAGCUUACCCCCUUAAAGACUUUGCUGGGGAAAGACUCAGUAACUUAUGCCAGAAGCUUUUGCGGUUGCUUACUGAAGAAGGCAGAGUACCUUGUACGGGAAAUCAUCCAUGUAUCGUACUGAAGAAGAUAUAUGAAUCUUGCCUUGGAAGCUUCUUGGGUAUCUUGCGAGGGAAGAUUGGGUUACUUACACCAGAAACUUCUUAUUGUGAUAUGCGGACCGAUUUCCACAUAUAUAACCAUCUUAAAUUUUUUGUUAUUGAUUUCUUGUAUGAAACGGGGUUUUGUAGGAGUAUCCUCCUUUCUGAGGACAUGCCAUAUUUUUGCUUGCUUCCAGGUAACUCGGGUUCCAAAAUCAUCCUCAACGGGAAAUUAAACUUGUAUCUGAGCCAUACCUUUGAUAAUAUUUUGUCAAUGCAUCCAAUUUAUCUUCUUGCUGAUUUGAUCAUUUCUGCUAUGAGGAGUGCACGUUGAGGGAGACUUGACACUCAGUAACAUGAUCAGAUAUCCCCCAAUCUGAAUGCAGUCGACUGAGAAUUCCAUACUGUUGUGAGGAGUGCACGUUAUUGCAAACUUUAUACUGACAUUCCAUCCAGGAUUUCUUAAGUAUUCAGAUGAGCUAUUUCCAAUUUCACUGCAGUCUGCUGACAAUUCCAUUCUAUUUAGCUGAGUUCCCAAAUAUAUGUAUUUCUUGCUGACUCUUCGGGUCUGGUGUCGGCUGACGAGCAACUUUAAUAGGGGGGAAAUUUGUAACACCGAAGGCCCAAAGAAAUAAACAAAAGAAACAACUAAAACAAAAGCACACAAGCAUACUACUAAUUUAAUUAAUCAAGCAAUCAUCACAUAUUACUGCUACUCACACCAUAAUAUGCAUGCACACCUAAGCACACAAAUCGCGCAGAAACUCUGGUAUUACGGUCUAAUAUGCUGUGGCGGUGUGCACGAAAAUUAUAUCCAUGUGUGGAAGGAGUUGGCGUAACCGAAGCUACACCAAGCACUGGCUGAACAGUGGCUGGAUCUGGAUGGAUACACAGGUGAGAACGGACUUGAUGAUCAAGUAGCGAGACACAAAAGUCACGACCACCUCAUCAUCAAGCGUACGAAGGGAGUCGUACCCGUCCGAAGAAUGAAAUGACAUGGCAAGAUAAUAGUGGAAGACUGGGUUUAUUGGCAUUGCCCUUUUCUGAUAACAAAGAUCAGCAAGGGUUGCCAAGGGGAAGAGAUGGAUGAUGAUGUGGUCGCAUCACACCGAGGAGCAGGCAUGCUAAGAAAGGAUGGUGCAGACGGUGGACCGAAAAUGAUGCCACCUACACUCACAAGAUUAACCGUUAGUGACAAAAUAACAAUCUAUAUGCAUGCUAUGCGACAAGCAAAUGCAACAAUCAAGUGCAACAAACCAACUGGGGUCUAUACUACCGCUUUCUAACGUUCGCGCGGGCUAGGGCAUCCUACAGCCAGAUCUGCUCUGAUACCAAGCCUGUAGCACCCCGGCUCAGAGAAAACCGGAACGCCCCGUAUUCCAGCCCAGAGAUCGAGGAGAAGUCUUCUGGAAUACGGAACUGCUUAGCAUAGAACAAACCAGCUUACUAUUAUUACACGAAUAUGAUUACAAGGUCUUCGAUAUUACAAUGAAUAACAUCGGCAUGGCGACACUACGCCAUCCUCAGUUGCUCUAUGCAAGCAGCAGAACAACUCGAAGCAGCGGAAAACUACUAGCAGCGGAACAACAACGACGAUGGUGAACUCCACUCUGUAGGGACUCUAGCUGGAACGCUUAUCCUAGCUCGCAAACAAAGAAUCCACGGCAAACAAGCAUGCAAUCCAGGCACGACCUGCAAGCUGGCAUGACACGCCAGGUCAGUACAUUGAAUGUACUUGCAAGCUCACAAUAACCAGAAGCAUUCAAGACAAACAUCAGAAUGGCAAUUACAGGUUAAGCAGGAAUUAUCAUGAGAUCAUCAGAAUAACAUGGCAUGAACAAUAUGGACAUGAUACAGGUAGAACAACAUGAGCAUGGCAUGAACAUAUAGAUCUGACGAUACUAGCAUGCAACAUGAUGACACUAUAUGCACUAUUUAUUCUGCUCGGGUUACUUCGUAACCAUCACAUGCAUCACUUACCAUCCUCGGACAUCACACGAUCAUCUCAGGAUCAAAUCAAGCUUGGUAUAAACAAUACCGUAGUAAUCAUAAAAUGACCACAAGGAGCUUGAUCUUUACCCACGAUUCUCGCACAAUAUCACGAAUAUCCAACAACUCGGUAUCCUCGAUACCACGGUGAUCAUUCCGGCGAUCACAACCAUGACCAACACUUGGUCCCAAACGGUGAUCAUUCCGGCGAUCACAACCAACUUAUCUCAUCAUCGAAUCGGGGUUGUCAUUAAUCAAGUUAUUAUUAAUACUGUUGACUCACGGUGGGACCGACAUGAACUGGGCCCUUAUCCGCGGGCGCGGCUAUCGAUAGAUUUAAUAUACACUCUCCAGAGGUUAGUACACUAUACCCACACCACGGAACCUAUGGCCUCGCACUCCCAUUCGGGUGGACCAACGGCGUUCCGACAAAACCGAUCUACUGCCAUGACCCUCUCCCGGCCACUCCAACUCACUCCCCAUUGGGCUAGUCCUGGGUGGCCCUGUGUCUACCAAAGACACAACGACCACCGUCGUGGUCCGUCCCAAACAUGGACAAAAGUGCUUAUCAUUCAACCUACGGGCACACAAGGUUAUGUUCGCCUACCUAAUCAGGGUAACCACGCCCAUAACCUUCCCUAGUUGGAGGCACCGGCGAGAGGCACGACCAUAGACCUAGUUAGGACCUUUCCAUAUCGGCAAGUGUGGUUGCACUGGUCAGUUUCGAUAUGGUGGCACCAUGACUCAGCCAACAGUUGUUCAAGUUCAAUUUAAUCCGGUUAAACUUGAAUGCAAUAUGCUGAGCCAUGAUAAAAUAACAUGAUGCAUAUACAAAGCAUGAGCAUGAUAUCAACAUAACCACGGGAUGCAACAUAACUAUCCAUCAUAUCAACUAUGAAAUAAUCUCAAACUGAACAUGGCAUAAUGACGAGCAUAAAUAUUACAAGUGCAACACUACUCAUGGUAUAACAUGACCACUAGCAUCAACCAUAAAUACCAUGCAAGAACUCAUCAGUAACAUUACCAAGUAACACUUAACCAACUAACAGCAAAGGAACAACGCAUAUUAACAGUACUCGAUAACCGACGUUAGUCAUGCACCGAAGAACAUGACCAACCCAACAUGUACUACUAUCAAGCAUGGCAAUAUGAAAGUAAUACUAGAAACUAGCAGGGCAUGAUAACCAGGUGCAUAACAACAUAGCAAGUAAGUAAGCACUAACCAAGAAGCAUUACCGAAACAACGAUAACCAUGUUUUAAACAAGCAAUAAUUUAAUAAAUAUUCAAGUUUAAAACCAUGGCUACUGCAUGACUAUCAUGCAAGUGGGUAUUGUGGCUUGCCUGGGGGUGAAGAAGGCACCGGGAAGGAGUGCGGUGAAGCCGCGAAAAGAUUUGCCGGAAACAGUUCUCUCUCGGAGGGGCUGUUUAUGUGCAAGGGCAAAAAAGGUCAUUUUCACAGUGUCAAACCAUAGUGAAAAUGAAACCAACAGAACGGGCUCGACGAAACGAAGACGUGGGCUUUGGAAUCACCUCAUUUGGAGUUGUGGUUAAAAAGAUAUGAAGGGUUGAAGUUUAGGGACUUUUCUGCAAAAAUAUCA
RNAcentral lists this long non-coding RNA (9355 nucleotides) under Triticum aestivum (bread wheat). RNAcentral's name for it is "long non-coding RNA (TAES_LNC023760)". The record is from RNAcentral. Lineage: Eukaryota; Viridiplantae; Streptophyta; Magnoliopsida; Poales; Poaceae.